This 458-nucleotide ribosomal RNA is filed under the name uncultured delta proteobacterium. Its description in RNAcentral is "bacterial SSU rRNA". It matches the Rfam family "Bacterial small subunit ribosomal RNA", at positions 389 to 840 of the family's 1533-position model. The record is from RNAcentral. Lineage: Bacteria; Deltaproteobacteria.
CAGAAACUUCACGAGAGUGAGGCUGGCUUUAGGGGUGAGAAUGUCCGUCUGAUAGAAAGACUGGCCAUAUGGUGAAUACCCAGAAGGUAUCACGGUCUUAUAGAAGAAAGCCACGGCUAACUCCGUGCCAGCAGCCGGGGUUAUUCGGAUGGUGCGAGCGUUGAUCGGUUUCACUGGGAUUAAAGAGCCCACAGGCGGAUCAGCAAGUUAAACGUGAAAUCUGGGGUCUUAACCCCGAAUCUGGAUUUUCAACUGUUAGUCUAGAAUCUCAGAGAGGGCAGGGGAAUUUCUAGUGUAGGGGUGAAAUCCGUAGAGAUAUGAAGGAACCCCGGAGGCGAAGGCGCCUUCCGGGGCGAAUAUGGGCGGAGAGGCGAGAAAGCGUGGGGAGCAUACAGCAUUACAUAACCGGGUAGUCCGAGCCUUAAACGAUGAGUAGCCUUUUAAAGGAAUGACCCCAU